RNAcentral lists this ribosomal RNA (253 nucleotides) under uncultured bacterium. Its description in RNAcentral is "partial 16S ribosomal RNA". It matches the Rfam family "Bacterial small subunit ribosomal RNA", at positions 524 to 776 of the family's 1533-position model. The record is from RNAcentral.
UACGAAGGGGGCUAGCGUUGCUCGGAAUUACUGGGCGUAAAGGGCGCGUAGGCGGAUAUUUAAGUCGGGGGUGAAAGCCCGGGGCUCAACCUCGGAAUUGCCUUCGAUACUGGAUAUCUUGUGUUCGGGAGAGGUGAGUGGAAUGCCGAGUGUAGAGGUGAAAUUCGUAGAUAUUCGGCGGAACACCAGUGGCGAAGGCGACUCACUGGCCCGAUACUGACGCUGAGGCGCGAAAGCGUGGGGAGCAAACAGG